RNAcentral lists this non-coding RNA (30 nucleotides) under Mus musculus (house mouse). Lineage: Eukaryota; Metazoa; Chordata; Mammalia; Rodentia; Muridae. The record is from RNAcentral.
UAAAAAGUCUGGUGCACAUAUGCUCAAGGG